RNAcentral lists this ribosomal RNA (411 nucleotides) under Nanoglomus plukenetiae. Its description in RNAcentral is "partial large subunit ribosomal RNA". The record is from RNAcentral. Lineage: Eukaryota; Fungi; Glomeromycota; Glomeromycetes; Glomerales; Glomeraceae.
AGAGUUAAACAGUACGUGAAAUUGUUGAAAGGGAAACGAUUGAAGCCAGUCGUACCGACGGGAAAUCAACUUCUCGAGUGCUUGUCGUGGGUGGCGUGGAGCCUUACGGCCUUCGUUGCUUGCGUUAUGGUGCUUUUGGGGUGUACUUUUCCGUAUGUAGGUCAACAUCGAUUUUGAUCGUCAUAAAAUGACGGGGGGAACGUAGUUUCGAUCUCGUAUCGAAGUGUUAUAGCCCCUGGUAGAUGUGAUGAUUGGGAUUGAGGAUUGCAGCGAACCCUUCGGGGUCACCCGCCUGAUCUCUGGUGGUUACUCUGGUAUCGAAAGCUUGCUUACGAUCAUCAAAGUUGACUGCCAAAAGGUUAGAACGGGUUGAAUUCGUUAAGGAUGUUGACGUAAUGGCUUUAAACGACC